Non-coding RNA from Capsicum annuum, 161 nucleotides. The record is from Rfam. NCBI's taxonomy places the organism in Eukaryota, Viridiplantae, Streptophyta, Magnoliopsida, Solanales, Solanaceae.
AUACUUACCUGGACGGGGUCAAUGGGCGAUCAUGAAGGCCCAUGGCCUAGAUUGGUGACCUCUAUUGCACUUUGGAGGGGUGCCUGUCUAAGGUCGGCCCAAGUGGUCGAGCCUACGUCAUAAUUUGUGGCAGAGGGGGCCUGCGUUCGCGCGGCCCCUAC